UACGUAGGGCGCAAGCGUUGUCCGGAAUUAUUGGGCGUAAAGAGCUCGUAGGCGGUUUGUCGCGUCUGCUGUGAAAACCUAAGGCUCAACCUUGGGCUUGCAGUGGGUACGGGCAGACUAGAGUGCGGUAGGGGUGACUGGAAUUCCUGGUGUAGCGGUGGAAUGCGCAGAUAUCAGGAGGAACACCGGUGGCGAAGGCGGGUCUCU
RNAcentral lists this ribosomal RNA (207 nucleotides) under uncultured bacterium. RNAcentral's name for it is "partial 16S ribosomal RNA". It matches the Rfam family "Bacterial small subunit ribosomal RNA", at positions 524 to 730 of the family's 1533-position model. The record is from RNAcentral.